RNAcentral lists this non-coding RNA (24 nucleotides) under Mus musculus (house mouse). The record is from RNAcentral. Lineage: Eukaryota; Metazoa; Chordata; Mammalia; Rodentia; Muridae.
UGCCAUGCAUUGGGGUAGAUGUCG